Molecule: ribosomal RNA, 380 nt
Filed under: uncultured eukaryote
Lineage: Eukaryota
Description: partial 18S ribosomal RNA
Rfam family: Eukaryotic small subunit ribosomal RNA
Source: RNAcentral
CAAUAGCGUAUAUUAAAGUUGUUGCGGUUAAAAAGCUCGUAGUUGGAUUUCUGCCGAGGACGACCGGUCCGCCCUCCGGGUGAGUAUCUGGCUCGGCCUGGGCAUCUUCUUGGAGAACGUAACUGCACUUGGCUGUGUGGUGCGGUAUUCAGGACUUUUACUUUGAGGAAAUUAGAGUGUUUCAAGCAGGCACACGCCUUGAAUACAUUAGCAUGGAAUAAUAAGAUAGGACCUCGGUUCUAUUUUGUUGGUUUCUAGAUCUGAGGUAAUGAUUAAUAGGGAUAGUUGGGGGCAUUAGUAUUUAAUUGUCAGAGGUGAAAUUCUUGGAUUUAUGAAAGACUAACAUCUGCGAAAGCAUUUGCCAAGGAUGUUUUCAUUGA